AGUGAACGCUGGCGGGAGGCCUAACACAUGCAAGUCGAACGGCAGCACAGUAAGAGCUUGCUCUUACGGGUGGCGAGUGGCGGACGGGUGAGGAAUACAUCGGAAUCUACUUUUUCGUGGGGGAUAACGUAGGGAAACUUACGCUAAUACCGCAUACGACCUACGGGUGAAAGCAGGGGGUCUUCGGACCUUGCGCGAUUGAAUGAGCCGAUGUCGGCUUAGCUAGUUGGCGGGGUAAAGGCCCACCAAAGCGACGAUCAGUAGCUAGUAUGAGAGGAUGGUAAGACACACUGUGACUGAGAAACGGUACAAGCACUUUAGUGAGGGCGUAGUGGGGAAUAUUGGAAACACGGCGCAAGCCUGACACAGGCAGACCGCGUAGGUGAAGAAGGACUUGGUUAUGUAAAGUCCUUCUGUUGGGCAAGAAAAGAACCAGGUUAAUACCAAGCUGAUGUGACGGUACCCAAAGAAUAAGCACCGGCUAACUUCGCG
RNAcentral lists this ribosomal RNA (492 nucleotides) under uncultured bacterium. RNAcentral's name for it is "partial 16S ribosomal RNA". It matches the Rfam family "Bacterial small subunit ribosomal RNA", at positions 29 to 507 of the family's 1533-position model. The record is from RNAcentral.